UUGAGCGUGCAAUGCAGGUGCAUGUGCAAUGCAGGUGCAGGUGCGAUGCAGGUGCGUGUGUCAGGCUGAGCGUGCGAUGCAGGUGCAGGUGCGAUGCAGGUGCGAGUGUGAUGCGGGUGCAUGUGUCAGGCUGAGCGUGCGAUCCGGGGUGCGUGUGUCCGGCCAAGCUUGCGAUGCAGGUGCGAGUGUGAUGUGGGUGCAUGUGUCAGGCUGA
This 214-nucleotide long non-coding RNA is filed under the name Chrysemys picta bellii (western painted turtle). RNAcentral describes it as "lncRNA (ENSCPBG00000024455.1)". Lineage: Eukaryota; Metazoa; Chordata; Testudines; Emydidae. The record is from RNAcentral.